UACGGGGGGGCAAGCGUUGUUCGGAAUUACUGGGCGUAAAGGGCUCGUAGGUGGCCAACUAAGUCAGACGUGAAAUCCCUCAGCUUAACUGGGGAACUGCGUCUGAGACUGGCGAGCUCGAGUGCAGGAGAGGAACGCGGAAUUCCAGGUGUAGCGGUGAAAUGCGUAGAUAUCUGGAGGAACACCGGUGGCGAAGGCGGCGUUCUGGACUGCAACUGACACUGAGGAACGAAAGCCAGGGUAGCAAACGGG
RNAcentral lists this ribosomal RNA (252 nucleotides) under uncultured bacterium. RNAcentral's name for it is "partial 16S ribosomal RNA". It matches the Rfam family "Bacterial small subunit ribosomal RNA", at positions 524 to 776 of the family's 1533-position model. The record is from RNAcentral.